CAGUCGCCGCGGGAAUACGAAGGGUGCAAGCGUUAAUCGGAAUUACUGGGCGUAAAGCGUGCGUAGGCGGUGAGUUAAGUCUGCUGUGAAAUCCCCGGGCUCAACCUGGGAAUGGCAGUGGAUACUGGCUCGCUAGAGUGUGUCAGAGGAUGGUGGAAUUCCCGGUGUAGCGGUGAAAUGCGUAGAGAUCGGGAGGAACAUCAGUGGCGAAGGCGGCCACCUGGGACAACACUGACGCUGAGGCACGAAAGCGUGGGGAGCAAACAGGAUUAGAUACCCCCGUAGUCCCUGUCUCUUAUAA
RNAcentral lists this ribosomal RNA (301 nucleotides) under uncultured bacterium. Its description in RNAcentral is "partial 16S ribosomal RNA". It matches the Rfam family "Bacterial small subunit ribosomal RNA", at positions 509 to 809 of the family's 1533-position model. The record is from RNAcentral.